This 483-nucleotide ribosomal RNA is filed under the name uncultured bacterium. Its description in RNAcentral is "partial 16S ribosomal RNA". It matches the Rfam family "Bacterial small subunit ribosomal RNA", at positions 30 to 506 of the family's 1533-position model. The record is from RNAcentral.
AUUGAACGCUGGCGGAAGGAAGAACACAUGCAAGUCGAGCGGAUGAAGGGAGCUUGCUCCUGGAUUCAGCGGCGGACGGGUGAGUAAUGCCUAGGAAUCUGCCUGGUAGUGGGGGAUAACGUCCGGAAACGGGCGCUAAUACCGCAUACGUCCUGAGGGAGAAAGUGGGGGAUCUUCGGACCUCACGCUAUCAGAUGAGCCUAGGUCGGAUUAGCUAGUUGGUGGGGUAAAGGCCUACCAAGGCGACGAUCCGUAACUGGUCUGAGAGGAUGAUCAGUCACACUGGAACGGAGACACGGUCCAGACCCCGACGGGAGGCAGGAGGGGGGAAUAUUGGAAAAUGGGCGAAACCCUGACCCAGCCAUGCCGCGGGUGUGAAGAAGGUUUGCGGUUUGUAAAGCAUUUUAAGUUGGGGGGAAGGGCAGUAAGUUAAAACCUUGCUUUUUUGACGUUACCAACAGAAUAAGCACCGGAGAACUGCGU